GCCUCGGUAGCUCAGUAGUAGAGCAGACGCCUGAAGAGCGUCGUGUCGGGGGUGCGAUUCCCUCCCGAGGCACAA
Molecule: transfer RNA, 75 nt
Filed under: Candidatus Wolfebacteria bacterium CG10_big_fil_rev_8_21_14_0_10_31_9
Lineage: Bacteria; Candidatus Wolfeibacteriota
Description: tRNA-Phe
Rfam family: tRNA
About the family: Transfer RNA (tRNA) molecules are approximately 80 nucleotides in length. Their secondary structure includes four short double-helical elements and three loops (D, anti-codon, and T loops).
Source: RNAcentral